UACGUAGGGGGCAAGCGUUGUCCGGAAUCAUUGGGCGUAAAGCGCGUGUAGGCGGUUCGGUAAGUCUGCUGUGAAAGUCCAGGGCUCAACCCUGGGAUGCCGGUGGAUACUGUCGGGCUAGAGUACGGAAGAGGCGAGUGGAAUUCCCGGUGUAGCGGUGAAAUGCGCAGAUAUCGGGAGGAACACCGAUGGCGAAGGCAGCCCCCUGGGCUAACACUGACGCUCAUGCACGAAAGCGUGGGGAGCAAACAGG
Molecule: ribosomal RNA, 253 nt
Filed under: uncultured bacterium
Lineage: Bacteria
Description: partial 16S ribosomal RNA
Rfam family: Bacterial small subunit ribosomal RNA
Source: RNAcentral